CGCCCAGACAGAAAAAGGUAAAGCAACUUAGAACAAAUCUCAAAGCAUACUCAGUUUGGACGCCCAGACAGAAAAAAGUAAAUUUAUAACAAAUAUCAAAACAUACUCCAACCUACUAUACUGGAUUGGACGUGGAAGAGAAAAAUACAAUCAGAAGCAUACACCAACUUGGACUCGGACAUGGAAAACAUACACCAACUUGGACUCGGACAUGGAACCAAUCGGGAACCAUACACCAACUCGGACUGGCAAAGGUUCUAUACUAAUAUAAAUACCCAGCUCUCAGAGAUUGAACGCCCAGAGAAAAAAGUGCCACCAGCUAAGUACACGCCAAGCAAUCUCCAAGCUACAGCGCCAACCAAAACAAAGGAGCAGUCAAGUAUGUUCCUUGUCUCCCGUUUUCGUUCUUCCCAAUGAAUUCUUGAAUCUCACACAUGGUAUUUGAUACUCAUCAGUCCUA
This 460-nucleotide long non-coding RNA is filed under the name Triticum aestivum (bread wheat). Its description in RNAcentral is "long non-coding RNA (TAES_LNC020678)". Lineage: Eukaryota; Viridiplantae; Streptophyta; Magnoliopsida; Poales; Poaceae. The record is from RNAcentral.